UACGUAGGGGGCUAGCGUUGUCCGGAAUCAUUGGGCGUAAAGCGCGUGUAGGCGGUCCGGUAAGUCCGCUGUGAAAGUCGGGGGCUCAACCCUCGAAUGCCGGUGGAUACUGUCGGGCUAGAGUGCGGAAGAGGCGAGUGGAAUUCCUGGUGUAGCGGUGAAAUGCGCAGAUAUCAGGAGGAACACCGAUGGCGAAGGCAGUGUUCUGGGCCAGUACUGACGCUGAGGAGCGAAAGCGUGGGUAGCAAACAGG
Molecule: ribosomal RNA, 253 nt
Filed under: uncultured bacterium
Lineage: Bacteria
Description: partial 16S ribosomal RNA
Rfam family: Bacterial small subunit ribosomal RNA
Source: RNAcentral